UGUCUCUCUCUCCCUCCCUCCCUCCCUCCCUCUCUUUCCCUCUCCCCACAAAUCUUCCUGGCCCCUUUCCCAGUUUUGGCUCCGGGCAGUGAGAAAUUAACACUGAUUGAGUUCAGGCAACAACAAGUCGGAGGUUUUUCCCCCGAAUAAGUAAUCAGUGACCGCUCUGAAUCACCGACGACAGCACAACCACCAUUUCACUUUCAGGACGUGGGGGACGUGCGGUCUCCGUCGGCCAGCCCCGAGUGCGCGUCCGUUGGUCCCGUAACUCACUCUCCCCCGAAGUCCCCGCGGGACUCUCCCGGGCGGCGCAGCGCGGCGGGUCAGCGCCCCGGGCCCCAGUUCCGGAGCCGGCCCCCGCUUCCAGCCGUCCGGGCCGAGCCCCCCGGGCGCGCGCCCUCCCCGCCCCCCCCCCGGACCCCGGGCCGUGCAGCCGCGCCCCUCCCCGCUUCUUGGGGCUCCCCAGCCGAGGGUUUGGCCGCAGGCAGGGCUGGGAGGAGCCCGAGGAGGCCGCCAAGUUUUGCCCGGAGCAGCUUCCCCGGGAGGCUCAGAAGUGCCGAGUCAGCGCCGGCCGCCGCCGUUCCCAUUUCUGCAGCAGGAGCCCGAGGGACAGCCCCCACCCCUUCCCCGCUUCCUCCUCCCCCUCCCUCUCUCCUCCUCCCCUCAGCCGCCUUUAAUCCCAGCCUCCCACCCCGACGCCGAGCAGUCCGGAGCGCUGAACUCCCGGGCCCAACGACACCCCUCUGACACCCCUCGGACACCCCUCGGACCCCCCUCGGACACCCCGGGCCGCUCCUGCGGAGGCGAGCUCCUGUCCGGGAGCCGGGGCCAGGUGGGGAGCGCAGGUGAGAGCGAGGAGCGGCACCUCCGCGCCCGGCGCCCGCCCCCAGACUCCGAAGGACGCCAGGUUCCUGGGGGACCCCGUCUCCCCGAGCGGCCGAGCAGAUCCUGACUGAGCCCCCAGCUAAGCUGCCCCCUGCCUUGGAAGGAUGGAAGCCCAGGAGAGUGCUGUCCAGUACAGCCGAUGGAGCAACAGCCAGGAUGAGGUCAGCAUGAAUGUGUCCGCCUCGGAGAGCUCGGGCUGUGAGCGGAUCUACACCAAGCUUUGCACUGGGAAGCUGGGCAUUGCCCUGAAGUUGGUAGGCGGAAUCAUUCUGUUCUGGGUCAUCUUCAUCAUCGGCUAUGUCACCGGCUACUACAUCCACAAGUGCAAGUAGCCCUCGUCUGAGCUGCCGGACAACUUUGCAAGCCCUCCGACCGCCCAGAGACCUCUUGCUUCCUGGCUCAGACCACCGGGACAGACUGGCCCCUGGGGGCACAGCCACCUAUAGAUAUAGACACCCACACCCACACAUAUACAUACAGGGACAGAUCUAUGGACAAAUACUGAGGCCCUUUUCAGAGAAAGAGAAACACAUUCCUAGUGUGGAAGGCACACACUGAAACAGACACUGGACAGGGGAGGAGACGCACAGACACUAACACGGAGACCCUCACCCACAUCUCUCUCCCGCCCCGGCCCAGGAUAGAACUCCAGACCAAGCCAGUCACAUCCCAUCCUUGCCCUGCCGCAUCCCACCCCAGGGGGAGGCUCACAUUCAGUUACCGAAGCCCAGGACUGUAUCCCCUACUCAUCCCUUCUUCCUCGCCGACCAGACGACCGCUUCUUUUGGACCUAUGACUGCCCUAAACAGCCAGAGGUCUGAGGAAGAUGGGAGGAGCCAGAGCCCAGUUUUCUCCCUCAGAAACCCCUCUGCCAUUCUGGUUUAUGUUCAGAACAGGAGUCAGACCCAGGAUUUCUACCCAUCCUUGGUAAGAGCAAGAUCUUGACAGGAGGGGAUCAUUCAGUUAGGGAAAGCCACACAAGGAACCAUUAACCAACCGGGGCUCAGAAUCAGAAGCAAAACAACUCUUGGGGUUUUAAUUUUUGUCCAACUCUAGGUGUGUGUGUGGGGGGACAAAAUCUGCCUCCCAUUUUUUGGGACCCCUCCCUGUCCUGCCCCAGGUCACCACUCUAUUUCUUGAGAAAUUUCUUUGAGCCCGAUUUCUACAUCUAUCUGUUGAGGAGGAGAAAGGCAAGUGGCCCUUUUAUCUCCAGCAAAAUUUUUUUAAAAAGACAACAUCAGGUAUGGGGAAGGAGGUUCUUGCUUCAAAACCUGACUGACUCUCCCUUUUAUGUGCAGGAUGGAAAGUUAUUUCCAUUUCUGAGCCUCUUUUUCUUAACUGUAAGAUGAGACUAAAUGGCUCUGAAGUUCCCUUUCAUCUCUAACUACAUGGAGUCCCAGCAAAGCCAAAAAUUUCCCAUCAUCCCUAGGGAUCAGCAGGGAAAUCCAAAGCUUUACCCCCAGUGUCUGUUAAAGCUCCUUCCCUAGACCCACAGGCCCCUGGCUAUAUCACUGGCCCACUUAUGUGUGUGUGUGUGUGGGGGGGGAUGUAAUUCUGGAGCCAUUGUAAGAGGUAUCCCCUCUAAAGUUCUUCCUUUGCCCCCUCCCCUGGAUUUGCCCUCAAUUGCUGCACAAAGUCCCAGGGAAUUCUAUCCCCUGGCCUGCCCUGAAGGAAGAAAAUCCCAGUGAAAAUGAGUUGGGGGUCUGAUCUCUCUGAUGGCCCCUAGUCGCAGGUGCACAAAGAUUUUCAGAGCCAGGAGAAGCCGUCUCCAUCCUGAGGAGCCUUCCCUCCUGAUCCAUGAUCUUACCCACAAGGCAGAGGCUGAGCCACGGAGGACUGGGGCGUUCCGGGGUUGGCCCAUCCCUCUAACCCACUCCCCCAAUCUUCUCGUGCCUUUCCAGAGAAAGGCCUUGGACUGGAAGGAUUCUUUCUUAAUAAACACCCACUUGUGUGACCUCAAGCACAGGGUUCUCUCCAUGUCUUUAUUCCUCUUCCGGUGGUUCCUACAGCAGGAACAGAAUGAUUGAUCUGGACUCAGGUGCUUGUGUGGUGG
Molecule: long non-coding RNA, 2938 nt
Organism: Sarcophilus harrisii (Tasmanian devil)
Lineage: Eukaryota; Metazoa; Chordata; Mammalia; Dasyuromorphia; Dasyuridae
Source: Ensembl